CCACCUGACCCCAUGCCGAACUCAGAAGUGAAACGCCGUAGCGCCGAUGGUAGUGUGGGGUCUCCCCAUGCGAGAGUAGGGAACUGCCAGGUA
This 93-nucleotide ribosomal RNA is filed under the name Escherichia coli HVH 186 (4-3405044). Lineage: Bacteria; Pseudomonadati; Pseudomonadota; Gammaproteobacteria; Enterobacterales; Enterobacteriaceae. The record is from RNAcentral.